CCUGAUUUUAAAUAUAGUAGAACUUAUUUAGCAUUUUAAUAUAUUAUAUAGCAUGUUCACAAACUGGAAUAAUUUUGUAAAAAUAGUAACCAUAAUGAUUAAGUAAUGAUUCAAACUUGUAAUAGUUCACUGAAAAGCCCUUUUGGGGAGUGGCUAAUAAAUACAGCCCUUUUGGGGAGUGGCUAAUAAAUACUACUACUACAACAACAAUUGAUUACCAAUGAUGGAAUCGAGUGUUUUAUCCUUCUUCGAGAAUGGUUACCAUCGCCGCAGGAGGGUUCAUAGUACAGCCUGCCAGAUUACAACCACCAAUCGUCAGAGCUCAUUUUUACUGACUUUGUUUAUCCAAAGCUCUUCUUCCACGUCAAAUAAUGAUCUAGUAUGGAAACCUGUAUAACUACCACGAGGGCGACAACCACGGCAGCUCAUGCAUGCAUGCACGUUUUUUUCACGUCUCUUCAACUAAAUGAAUAUUUUUUUUAUAUUAACUUUUGUCGUAUAGAAAAAACACAACGUAGAUUUAGACAAUUCUUGUAAGGAUAUACAACUUAUCAAACGACAUUUUUGUAUAACCAACGAGCAUGCGGUCUGUCCAGAGGCGUUAUAGGGUUAGGAUUUUUCUCUCAAAUCGAGGAAAUAAAUGUGUAUGAUUUUGUACACUACACGCCUAAAAACGCUCAGGUUAAAAAAUGUUGAACAAUAUUAUUACACCCGAUUCAGGCUCAACAGUACUGUUCAAUAUUCUUGACAAGUGAGAACAACGUGGGCAGCAAAACAUUGUUCAAUCCUGUUGAGCUGCGCGCUCGCCGUUUUUUGCCGUGUACUGCGAUUUCAUGCAGGUUUGAUUAUACUAUGACCAAUUGUUUCAAAGUUUUGAAUUGAUGUUUCGAAUUUAGCGAAUUUUCUCCACCUCGUGCGGGAUCGUAUUGUCAGCGGACAUCUUACACAAAAUUGCCAGAUCUGGGGAAAUACUUCAUGUAAGACCUACAAAACAGUUUGACCAAAUUAUAAGGUAUGUCAGUGUAUCGUAAAAGUUAGUGAAAACAUUGACCCUAACCUAACCCUAGUUUUAACACAAUGUGACUGUUUAAAAUGCAAAGCUUUCAAUUUUCACUGCAAUUCUGCUCGAAAUACGAGCCUGCUGUACUGAGAACAAAUUUGCUGAAUAUGACCAGUGUGAAUUACAAAGUUUGUUACAGAUUAUUCAAUUACAAUACUAUUAUAUAAUUCGAAUAAAUUGAUCCAUUAUUGUUCAUAGGUUUUAUGACUCAAUUAUCAGGGCGCGAUAAUUCACGUACUUACGUAUCGGACGUACCCCAGUAUCACGGUCUGGAACUUUUUAAGGUUACUGAAUCUGGUUACUGGUACUUUUUAAGGUUACAAAAUAUUGAGUUUCCCGUCUGGGGUCACUUGUUGCUCCCAACCCCCAGAUUCACAAUUUGAGCCUUUACUGCAUGCCUGAUUGAAAUUGACCGGAUUGCAAUGAGUUAAACAUGGUACAUAACAUGUGUGUUCACGUUUUUGUUCAUGGUUUUUCUUGUAUUGUGAAACGAAUUCCAUGCUGUGUGUUUGUUACCUAUGAGAAAAAUUAUUUCCAUGUCGCAAAUUGAACCCAAACGACUUCAACUUUAUUGCACUUAAACAUUUGAUGAGAUGAUUGAGUAAACUCAAUUAAGAUUGAGUUUUUGGGUCAGUUAAACUGGCCACCAGUCAGGUACGACUAAGUCUUGAAUUAUCGUACCCUGAUUAUGUGCAAAAAUUGAAAAAAGCCGAAUUAAGAAUCAUAUUUUACAUAUUGUAUCCUACAUACAGUGGCAGUGUGGCGUUUUUUUAGCAAACAAUCAGGAUUUAAAAUAACUAGUGCUUUCUUCAGCGUCAAAAGUAGAAAUUGUACUUCCUUGCGUGAAACAUAUGUCGAAAGCAGAGAACAGUAUCGCAAUUUUAACUUUAAGUAAAUUCUGGGCUCUAAAUCGCGAAAAUAUUAUGGUACAAAAAGGUUUAUAACAGACCUAGAAAAAGUGUUUUAUGUUCCUCGGAUCCUGAAUUUGCCUUUUUCAACAGUGGGCAAAACAAUGGAAAAUUUGACCGCAUACAUUACGGCAUUAUGUGUAUUUGUCUUGACAGUAUUUAUUUUACAUAUCUCAAAUGACAUGCAGAUAAGGAAGACUAACGCCCGUAUUCUAAAAGCUCAUUCAUACUCAAAGAGUAGAGGUUCAAUCUGAGCUUCUUUUGAGCGUCAAUGUUGUUUUUGAAUAGCUGGAUUAACGCUAGUGUCAUUCUAAACUAUGUGACUGCUCACCCUCCACCUAUUCAAAAACAGCAUUGACACUUAAGAGAAGCUCAGAUUGAACCUCUACUCAUUGAGUGUGUUCUUCGUGCGCUUUUAGAAUACGGGCGUAACUCUUCUAGAGGGAUACUCCGUAUGUGUGAAAAACUGAAAAAAUUAUGUUCGUCAAUCUUCUUGCUAAGACAAAUCUUCCUCAGGAUCCCGAAACCAACUUUCUCCAGGCCUGGAUUUAGAAAAUCGAUAAUCAAUUAAAAUCAAUCUGUGAAUCGUUAACAAUCAGGCAGCGAGAGGCAAGGCACCUUAUUCAAGAAUUAAUUCUUAUUGAUUGAUAUUAGAUAUAUUUAGUAUCUUGUAUGCUAUUUUGAAGUAGCAUUUAACGGAUCGUCAAAUAUGCUUGGUGAAUCUUCGUCAAAAAUUGAUGUUUUACUUUUUCCUUUCUUUUUUCCUUUUGUUUUUUUCGUUGUCUUUGAUGUCGAUGCAUCCUCACUUGCCACUGUCACUGAAUCUGAAAACAAAAACACAACGAUUACGAGAUAUUCAACAAUCCUGUACCGUUCGCAGCUCGAUUAACUAUUUCAGGGGUGCAUGUAGUGGAAGUGGGGCUCAGGGGCUUUAGCUCCUUGUUAACAAUUCCUGGGCUUACGAUUUUUAUCAAAACAGAAAUAAUCUUUGAUAAUAUAGAAACUUUUUGCAAUUUAAUACCAGCAAUGCUAACAUUUUAUAACAUCCCCUAAAUUGCUGGAAAUCGAAAAUUUUCUG
This is a non-coding RNA of Paramuricea clavata, 3046 nucleotides long. The record is from the annotation of a GenBank genome assembly. Lineage: Eukaryota; Metazoa; Cnidaria; Anthozoa; Malacalcyonacea; Plexauridae.